CCAACCCCUAGGAGGAGGGGGUCAGAGAAGGACACUAGAUAGUCUCCAACCCCUAGGAGGAGGGGGUCAGAGAAGGACACUAGAUAGUCUCCAACCCCUAGGAGGAGGGGGUCAGAGAAGGACACUAGAUAGUCUCCAACCCCUAGGAGGAGGGGGUCAGAGAAGGAAACUAGAUAGUCUCCAACCCCUAGGAGGAGGGGGUCAGAGAAGGAAACUAGAUAGCAUAUCUCAAUCCUGGUAAUCAGUUAUGCUUUGCAAUAGGUCUAUCACAUUUACUCCUUCCUGGAUGUACUGCUCUAGAAGCUUUACAAAAGGCUAGUGACCUCCAAAAGGCUGUAGGUCUAUCACAUUUACUCCUUCCUGGAUGUACUGAUCUAGAAGCUAUACAAAAGGCUAGUGACCUCCA
This 406-nucleotide long non-coding RNA is filed under the name Salmo salar (Atlantic salmon). RNAcentral describes it as "lncRNA (ENSSSAG00000102164.1)". Lineage: Eukaryota; Metazoa; Chordata; Actinopteri; Salmoniformes; Salmonidae. The record is from RNAcentral.